RNAcentral lists this non-coding RNA (27 nucleotides) under Mus musculus (house mouse). The record is from RNAcentral. Lineage: Eukaryota; Metazoa; Chordata; Mammalia; Rodentia; Muridae.
GACUUGUCCUCGAGAUGGAGUCUGCAC